GACGAACGCUGGCGGCGUGCUUAACACAUGCAAGUCGAACGGAAAGGCCCUGCUUUUGUGGGGUGCUCGAGUGGCGAACGGGUGAGUAACACGUGAGUAACCUGCCCUUGACUUUGGGAUAACUUCAGGAAACUGGGGCUAAUACCGGAUAGGAGCUCCUGCUGCAUGGUGGGGGUUGGAAAGUUUCGGCGGUUGGUGAUGGACUCGCGGCUUAUCAGCUUGUUGGUGGGGUAGUGGCGUACCAAGGCUUUGACGGGUAGCCGGCCUGAGAGGGUGACCGGCCACAUUGGGACUGAGAUACGGCCCAGACUCCUACGGGAGGCAGCAGUGGGGAAUAUUGCACAAUGGGCGGAAGCCUGAUGCAGCAACGCCGCGUGCGGGAUGACGGCCUUCGGGUUGUAAACCGCUUUCGCCUGUGACGAAGCGUGAGUGACGGUAAUGGGUAAAGAAGCACCGGCUAACUACGUG
RNAcentral lists this ribosomal RNA (468 nucleotides) under uncultured bacterium. Its description in RNAcentral is "partial 16S ribosomal RNA". It matches the Rfam family "Bacterial small subunit ribosomal RNA", at positions 28 to 507 of the family's 1533-position model. The record is from RNAcentral.